This is a long non-coding RNA of Vespula vulgaris, 2200 nucleotides long. RefSeq lists it as uncharacterized. The transcript is spliced from 2 exons. The record is from RefSeq and is a predicted model, not a curated record. Lineage: Eukaryota; Metazoa; Arthropoda; Insecta; Hymenoptera; Vespidae.
UCCGACUAUUAGAGAUCAAUAGAGAAUUCUAUUUCCUCGCACCUUACGACCUUUCGGGAUCUUUCGAUCGUGUAAUAGGAAAUAUUGAUUGUUCUACGUGGAAAGUAAGAGAACCGCGAUAAAGUUGUAGGUCUAUCCUUCGGUAGAUGUGUGACUAGUUAUACGCGAGCGGGUGUAGUGCAAUGAAUAUUCCCUAUGUGUAUGCAUCCUACAUCUCAAACGGUAGUUUUACAAGUAGUUCAAGCGGCGGAAACAAUUUCUUCAUUCUCACCAGUCUUUCGUUUCUGUUAUCAAUAUAAGGUCAAUUUUCAGUAGUCAUUAGUAUAUUAUUCAUUAUAAAAUUUCAAUUAUACACUAUGUAAUAUCAUCCUAAUAAUUAUUUGUUGCUUCUCGGAGAUGGUAGUUUAUAUCACUUAAAAGAGCGUAACCCGAUUUAUCCUUGAUAACUACGCAAUUUAGAUGAACAGUUGAAUGUCUCUCGUAAGUCUUAACUAAUCUACGAAUUUUGGCUUAUUUUAGAGAUAUACAAAACUAAUUAAAGGCGUAGGCAGUUCCAAUACCCAGGAAGUAUUGCAAAGGACCUGAAUCGACCGAUAUCCGGAUUGUAAUUCCAAAGAAGAUACGAGAAUUUUAACUACGCUCAACUUGACACUUAAAUAUGAGACAUCCAAAGAGAAACAUAUUUACCUGGUCUUCCUGUUCUUCUGUACAUCCGAUAACAAGUCCUACAUGGAUAAUACAAACGUCAGACCAUCAACCAGAUCAAGGUUUUUGAAGCAACCCAUCGGCGGCGAAUACGCUCUAAAUGGUAGCUGAUAAUCGUAUCAUCGAAUUGUCUGCUUUGUUUCACUGGAGAAAAACUAACGAAAAAAGACCUUUUUCGUUUUCGAAAUAAGAGAGAAGAUGUACGCAACAUGCAUGCAAUAUCGCGCCCUCGAUCCCGCCAACUUGAACUACCGCACAUGUAGGGAGAGAGGUAAUAAAUAAUAGAUUAAUAUGAUAAGGCUGGACGAUAUGUACGAGGGAAUGUAUUACGUCCGUGCAGAUCAUUAAAUCCCGAUCAAUACCAGUUAACAAGCUAAUUCGUAGACAUAGGAGAUCAUAUAUUUUUGUCAAAUAUCAAAAUGUCGUCCUUUAUAAUGCCUUACGAUGUCUGUGAUAAAUGUUGAAGCUAUUUUCUUCCAACACUAUCAUUCGUCUCAUUAUGUAUGAGAUCUCUUCGUUUUCUCGUUGGAUGACAUCACUAUCACUGCUAUCUCUCCCGAUUAAUAUUUAGUUUUUCUAACGUAUCCGUAUAAAUGUGUAUACCUGUAAUUCCCCUUCGGCAUUACAUAUGACUCGAAACUCUUGUUUGUAAAUUUUGCCAUGCUCAACGAAAAAGAAAUAAGUAAGUAAACGGUAUGGUAGUCUCAAAUUGUAGAUUAGGAAAUAACGAAGCGAUAUAUACAAAAUGAAUAUUACUAUUCUGAUUUCCUGAAUUAUUAGUCGAGGGAUCUAUCUGUACUACUCGAUGUUUCAAUACCAAGUGAGUUCAGCUUUGAAAAUCUCUUAAUCCCAGUUUUAUCAAUACUUGUUUACUUCACCAAAUGUCAGCAUGUUAAACGAGGUCUACUCGCAUACCAUUGCAAACAAGUCCAUCUUAUCUCAGAAUGUAAAACUGUCAAACGUAUCUGGUAAAACUGACUGAUAUUCAUUUCAUGUAUCUAGGAAUUAGAUUUCUUUUGCUACUUCAAUAGAAAAAUCCAGAGAGACGUGCAUGUCUUGCAAAAAAAUAUGGCGAUGCAAUCACUCGAUCUUCUCAAAUAACUCACAAACUCUGUAGUUCUUUCGGAGGGGAAAUACGUGAAAGAGAAGAAGAUAAUAUUGGCAAACGAAAAAAUAUGACGAAAGAUUUUCUUUGAGUACAUGUUUUUUAUUAUUUCUUUGAAUACAUAUUUUUAUCAUAUAAUAUUAUUGUAAAAUAACGGAAAUGAAUUCUUCGAUAACUUAAGAUAUAUAUUUUUUUACAAAAGAGAGGGUAAUAUUUGGAGAAAAUGUUUCCAAGGAAUCUGAAAGUAGAUACAACUUCCGACGAAAAAAUUUUUUUUCAUCGGAAGAUUUUACAAAAAGAAUUACAUAGUACGGAAAUUGUAAUAUCAUUAAUAUUUGGUAACAUUAGAAAACUGUUUUUAAGUAUGACUAGGGAUAAGAAAGAAAGAAA